RNAcentral lists this transfer RNA (83 nucleotides) under Ornithinibacter aureus. Its description in RNAcentral is "tRNA-Leu". It matches the Rfam family "tRNA". From Rfam's summary of the family: Transfer RNA (tRNA) molecules are approximately 80 nucleotides in length. Their secondary structure includes four short double-helical elements and three loops (D, anti-codon, and T loops). RNAcentral also lists the same sequence under 4 other names. The record is from RNAcentral. Lineage: Bacteria; Bacillati; Actinomycetota; Actinomycetes; Micrococcales; Intrasporangiaceae.
GCCGGGGUGGUGGAACGGCAGACACGGAGCACUCAAAAUGCUCUGCCCGCAAGGGCGUGCGGGUUCGAGUCCCGCUCCCGGCA